AAAUAAAAAAUAAAUAAAGUUGGGCAAGUUAUUUUCCAGUGCUUUAAUAAAUGUUGGUAAACAAAAUAACUAAAUGAAUUUUUGACACACUUGCAAAAAAUAACCUGGAAAAUCCAACUAGGUCAGAGCUUCCGGGUCAAUAUAUUUUAAAGUUUUUUUCUGAAAAUGAAAGUGUAUACAUUAUGAAAAACAAGAAAACCCUUUCCAUAGAGAUCAACCAAUUGGGUACCUGACAAAGAAUCCUUUGUCACAGUCACCCCUUCCCACCAAGACUCUAGCUCCUCCCUGUCCCAUCUGAAAGUUUGUUUCCAGAUAGUUCGUUGAUCAGUCCACCUUCUAACUCUCUACAGCACUGUCUCAGACCUCUGUCAGGUUGUCUGGCUGGAAUCCUGCAUCCCUGGCCUCAGCUAGAAGGCUGAGAAUGAAAGAAGGAACAAAAUUGAAAACUGAUCCCAUUUAUUUCAAAAUCAUGUCACCUCUGUCAGCUGAAGAUACUGAACUAAGAGGCAGCUUGAGUCUCCUUCCGCUUGUGCAUGAGAUGGCACAGUCUUUCUUCAAAACAAGUCCUAUAUGGGAAUUCCCUGGCGGUCCAGUGGUCACGAUUCCGCACUUCCACUGCAGGGGGCGUGGAUUCGCUCCCUGGUCGGGGGAACUAAGAUUCCGCAAGCUACGCAACGCGGCCAAAAAAAAGAGCUCUAUUGAUGAUUAGAGGUCAGCUGGAUUUUGGCUAAUCUUGUCGGGAUCAGUGGAACUUGGCUCCAGCCAUGAGUUGAGUUCACAUCUCUCAUUCCUCCGUGACUAGUGGGCUGCCCAAGACAUCAUCUUCACAAGGUGGUAGCAGAAGCCCAAAAGAGCAGACCCAGCACUGAAAUGGGUAAAGCCUCUGUACACAUCACAACUACUAACAUUUCAUUGGCUAAAUAAAGUCAUACAGCCAAGCUGACAUCAAGGGGGUGGAAAAUAUACUCCAGCUGUAAUCUCAGGAACUACACAUGGUAUAGGUGUAGGGAGUGAUGAAGUACUGGGAAGAAUUAUACAGUCUACAACAGUGCCUCACAAAAAGAUUACAUGGAAAAAACACAUGCACAGGAUAUAAAAUUGAUUGUACAACUUGAUCAUAACUAUGUAAAAAUAUUUUUUGCAAUUCAACAAAGAAUAGAAAUAAAUAAGCAAAAAUGAAAAAAAUCAUGACUGGAUAACAAGUGGCUAAGAACUGUUUAUUUUGCCUCUCUCCAUUUCUCAAACCUA
This 1248-nucleotide long non-coding RNA is filed under the name Delphinapterus leucas (beluga whale). RNAcentral describes it as "lncRNA (ENSDLEG00000018336.1)". The record is from RNAcentral. Lineage: Eukaryota; Metazoa; Chordata; Mammalia; Artiodactyla; Monodontidae.